GACGAACGCUGGCGGCGUGCUUAACACAUGCAAGUCGAACGGAGUUCCUUGGAUAGAGGCUUCGGCCAAUUGAAUUGGAACUUAGUGGCGGACUGGUGAGUAACGCGUGAGGAACCUGCCUUUCAGAGGGGGACAACAGUUGGAAACGACUGCUAAUACCGCAUAACAUGUGACUGUGGCAUCACAGACACAUCAAAGAUUUAUCGCUGAAAGAUGGGCUCGCGUUGGAUUAGAUAGUUGGUGAGGUAACGGCUCACCAAGUCGACGAUCGUUAGCCGGACUGAGAGGUUGAACGGCCACAUUGGGACUGAGACACGGCCCAGACUCCUACGGGAGGCAGCAGUGAGGAAUAUUGGGCAAUGGGCGCAAGCCUGACCCAGCAAUGCCGCGUGAAGGAAGACGGUUUUCGGAUUGUAAACUUCUUUUAAGAGGGACGAUAAUGACGGUACCUCUUGAAUAAGCCACGGCUAACUACGUG
Molecule: ribosomal RNA, 478 nt
Filed under: uncultured bacterium
Lineage: Bacteria
Description: bacterial SSU rRNA
Rfam family: Bacterial small subunit ribosomal RNA
Source: RNAcentral